Molecule: non-coding RNA, 960 nt
Organism: Paramuricea clavata
Lineage: Eukaryota; Metazoa; Cnidaria; Anthozoa; Malacalcyonacea; Plexauridae
Source: the annotation of a GenBank genome assembly
CUUUUCACAUCGAGAAAUAGUCGAGGUAAUCUGCGCGAUAUGCGUAUCAUGCGAGUUAUUAUGGCGUCGGUGUGUCGACCGUGCCAGUCGAAAACCCUCAACAAAUCAUGUUAUGAGGAAUCUCUAGCGCUUACAGAAGCAAUAACUUUGUACUAUAGACAAGGCUCGGUAUAAUGUGACGUAUAUAGAACAAGAAUUGCAUUUAACAUGGUUCUUUGGGGACAAUAGUUUAUAAGACCCAACUAGAGGAUGAUAUAUAUAAAUACCACAUAGAUUAAAUCGCAUUUCGAGAGCAAGGACAGGGAGUUUAAGAGUGACGUAUAGUUGUAAUCUAUGCAAGAAUGCUUUUUUUGUUAUUCAGUAAUUGCCUUUGGCAGACAGCAUCUUUGAAAAUCAUCCAAAGUUGCUCAAGCACGUAGAAGGCGGAAUUUUUUUUGAACGUUCGGCAUGUUUGAUACUGUAUAUAGAACUUGAUAGGCAGUGCUAUUUAGAUUGAAUACAACAAAUUAUAUUUAAAGUUCUCGAAUAUUACAGAAAGGAAUGUCUGCAUAGUGGUUUGUUAAAUUUAAGAUUUGACCAAACCGUUUAUGGCUCGGUUCAUGAUGUUAUAGCCACAGUUAAUAAAGGUGAAAUUAUACUGUGGUUACUUUAAUAUGCUAGAUAUCUUCGCGAACUACAGUAGUAGCUAAGUUGGUUCAAAUUGAACUCUUCAGUACUUGAACUUCCGCGUAAAAGUCCAAAUGUUCUCAUGUCUUCUUAAUUUGUAGGGUCGCGCAAAGGGAAAUCGUCGUUCACUAUGGCUGCGCGCACGAAUGCAGACAUUUCUUUUCAAGCUUGGUUAUUACGCACAGAACCACAGCGUACAAGUUAUCAUGAUUGGCUUGGUGGCUCUUAUCGUAUUCGCGCUUGGUUUAUACAAAGCAAGGCUUGAAACCAACGUGGAAAAUCUAUGGAUGGAAG